AUUCCUUCAGGCCUUUUGAAUCUCUUGGGUUUGCAAAGAAAAGGGAUUUGCAUUCAGACCCCUCACAUUAUUCCUAAAUUUAUCCCUCGUUCUUUCCCCUCCCCUGAGAGACAGCCCUGAAAAUCUUAAGGAACUCAAUAGUCAAGACAAGUCCUUGAGCAGAGACCUGAUGAUCAAGAUGAGGAAACAGGCUCAAGGAGGCCAGGCCACAAGCCCAAGCUCACACCCAGAGUGAGAGUUGGAGCUGGUCUUGUUCUGGAAUCACAAGACCUUAGAGGAUGGAAUGGCAUUGGUACCAGUUGACUCAAGUCAGAUGUCCAGUGUCGGAGGCCAGUGGUGCUGGAGAGAAAUGGGUUGAGGGGAGUAUGGCCUCACUGACACUGUCCUCGACCCUGACAAGAGGGGCCCUCCACGUUUGCUCCCCCAGAGAGCAACCCCCAGAGAGUGCAGGAGAAACAGCAGCAGCAGCAGGGUGUUGUCCCCUAUCUUGGCACUCUGCUCAGUGACCUGCUGAUGCUGCACCUGGCGAUGGGUGACUAUUUCGAGGGGAAUGGGAUCAACCUUGAGAAGAGGACUGAGGAGCAGCAGUGGCACUCCCUGCAGGGGAGAAGAAAGAGGUGGAAAUCAGAGACCUUCUGGGCAGAACAGUCCUUGGCUCCACCCGCUGUAUCUUACAUUGAAUGGAAGAGUUUGAUACCAGAGAAGUGGGAGACCCAUCCAAUUGGCGGGUGGGUUGAGGGGAGGAUGGCAUCAAGGAAAUCUUCCUGGAGGAGGGGCUGAUUAUUCCCAUUCUGAGAACUGGUAGAUCCUGGAUGGAACUGGAGGGAAAGAGGGUUUCCAGGACUGGUCCCCGGCCCC
RNA transcript from Diceros bicornis minor, 858 nucleotides. It is a transcript of the gene named ral guanine nucleotide dissociation stimulator-like 3, with no coding region annotated. The record is from RefSeq and is a predicted model, not a curated record. NCBI's taxonomy places the organism in Eukaryota, Metazoa, Chordata, Mammalia, Perissodactyla, Rhinocerotidae. The transcript is spliced from 4 exons.